GCUGGGUGUGGUAGUGCACACCUGUAAUCCCAGGUACUCAGGAGGCUGAGGCAGGAGAAUUGCUUGAACCUGGGAGGCGGAGGUUGCAGUGAGUCAAGAUCAUAUCACUGCACCCCCAGCCUAGGUGACAGAGCAAGACUCUGUCUCAA
Molecule: non-coding RNA, 149 nt
Filed under: Chlorocebus sabaeus (green monkey)
Lineage: Eukaryota; Metazoa; Chordata; Mammalia; Primates; Cercopithecidae
Source: Rfam by way of RNAcentral